This 397-nucleotide ribosomal RNA is filed under the name Wolbachia endosymbiont of Phyllonorycter rajella. RNAcentral describes it as "bacterial SSU rRNA". It matches the Rfam family "Bacterial small subunit ribosomal RNA", at positions 1012 to 1407 of the family's 1533-position model. Lineage: Bacteria; Pseudomonadati; Pseudomonadota; Alphaproteobacteria; Rickettsiales; Anaplasmataceae. The record is from RNAcentral.
GGGUCGGUUCGGCCGGAUUUUACACAAGUGUUGCAUGGCUGUCGUCAGCUCGUGUCGUGAGAUGUUGGGUUAAGUCCCGCAACGAGCGCAACCCUCAUCCUUAGUUGCUAUCAGGUAAUGCUGAGUACUUUAAGGAAACUGCCAGUGAUAAGCUGGAGGAAGGUGGGGAUGAUGUCAAGUCAUCAUGGCCUUUAUGGAGUGGGCUACACACGUGCUACAAUGGUGUCUACAAUGGGCUGCAAGGUGCGCAAGCCUAAGCUAAUCCCUAAAAGACAUCUCAGUUCGGAUUGUACUCUGCAACUCGAGUACAUGAAGUUGGAAUCGCUAGUAAUCGUGGAUCAGCAUGCCACGGUGAAUACGUUCUCGGGUCUUGURCACACUGCCCGUCACGCCAUGK